AUUGAACGCUGGCGGCAGGCCUAACACAUGCAAGUCGAGCGGAUGAAGGGAGCUUGCUCCUGGAUUCAGCGGCGGACGGGUGAGUAAUGCCUAGGAAUCUGCCUGGUAGUGGGGGAUAACGUCCGGAAACGGGCGCUAAUACCGCAUACGUCCUGAGGGAGAAAGGGGGGGAUCUUCGGACCUCAGGCUAUCAGAUGAGCCUAGGUCGGAUUAGCUAGUUGGUGGGGUAAAGGCCUACCAAGGCGACGAUCCGUAACUGGUCUGAGAGGAUGAUCAGUCACACUGGAACUGAGACACGGUCCAGACUCCUACGGGAGGCAGCAGUGGGGAAUAUUGGACAAUGGGCGAAAGCCUGAUCCAGCCAUGCCGCGUGUGUGAAGAAGGUCUUCGGAUUGUAAAGCACUUUAAGUUGGGAGGAAGGGCAGUAAGUUAAUACCUUGCUGUUUUGACGUUACCAACAGAAUAAGCACCGGCUAACUUCGUG
Molecule: ribosomal RNA, 484 nt
Filed under: uncultured bacterium
Lineage: Bacteria
Description: partial 16S ribosomal RNA
Rfam family: Bacterial small subunit ribosomal RNA
Source: RNAcentral